This 675-nucleotide ribosomal RNA is filed under the name uncultured bacterium. Its description in RNAcentral is "bacterial SSU rRNA". It matches the Rfam family "Bacterial small subunit ribosomal RNA", at positions 139 to 808 of the family's 1533-position model. The record is from RNAcentral.
CGGGAUAACCCGGAGAAAUCCGGCCUAAUACCGCAUGUGGCCGAGGGAAGGCAUCUUCUUUCGGCCAAAGGAGGCGACUCCGGAGACGGAUGGGCAUGCGUGACAUUAGCUUGUUGGCGGGGUAACGGCCCACCAAGGCGACGAUGUCUAGGGGUUCUGAGAGGAAGGUCCCCCACACUGGUACUGAGACACGGACCAGACUCCUACGGGAGGCAGCAGUGAGGAAUAUUGGUCAAUGGGCGAGAGCCUGAACCAGCCAAGUCGCGUGAAGGAUGACGGCCCUACGGGUUGUAAACUUCUUUUGUCAGGGAGCAAUUGGGUCCACGUGUGGGCUUAGCGAGAGUACCUGAAGAAAAAGCAUCGGCUAACUCCGUGCCAGCAGCCGCGGUAAUACGGAGGAUGCGAGCGUUAUCCGGAUUUAUUGGGUUUAAAGGGUGCGUAGGCGGAAUAUCAAGUCAGCGGUAAAAAUUCGGGGCUCAACCCCGUCGUGCCGUUGAAACUGAUGUUCUUGAGUGGGCGAGAAGUAUGCGGAAUGCGUGGUGUAGCGGUGAAAUGCAUAGAUAUCACACAGAACUCCGAUUGCGAAGGCAGCAUACCGGCGCCCAACUGACGCUGAAGCACGAAAGCGUGGGUAUCGAACAGGAUUAGAUACCCUGGUAGUCCACGCAGUAAACG